Long non-coding RNA from Jaculus jaculus (lesser Egyptian jerboa), 321 nucleotides. RefSeq lists it as uncharacterized. Lineage: Eukaryota; Metazoa; Chordata; Mammalia; Rodentia; Dipodidae. The record is from RefSeq and is a predicted model, not a curated record. The transcript has 3 exons.
UUGAGAAGAAGUGGCAGGAUCAUGUGACUAGGGAGUGAGGAGCAGACAGCUGCGCAAAACACCCCUCCGUUCAAAAGACAGAAGGAAGUGGAUUUCGUAUGGCUGCAAAGUGUCACAUCUGCUGCUUUAAGGAUCAAAGUAAUCAAUUUAUUUGGAGGAUCAGGAAAGAGCCAGAGAGGCAGAUCCUGCUCCAUUGCCUUUGAUGACCAGAGCGCUGUAUAACAAAGGAGCUCUCACUGAACCUGGAGUUCAGCAAUUCAACUAGAUUAGAACAAGCCCUAGAGACACUCCUGUCAUGGUAUAACAGCCCUGGGAUUACAG